RNA transcript from Drosophila ficusphila, 5427 nucleotides. It is a transcript of the gene named transcriptional regulator ATRX homolog, with no coding region annotated. The record is from RefSeq and is a predicted model, not a curated record. NCBI's taxonomy places the organism in Eukaryota, Metazoa, Arthropoda, Insecta, Diptera, Drosophilidae. The transcript has 21 exons.
ACUCCAAGCUAGACCUGCUUAGCAUUUGCAAAUCGCACUUCGAUACCUACCACAUUCUAUAUUGUGAUGAAUUAUUGUUUAAGAGUUGACACGCAAUACGUGCAGACAGCUUGAGUCGCGGGGUAAUACCGUUUUCAUGAAAAUGUUUACUUCUAUGCAUACAUUUUUAAGCAUGAGACGCUGGAUGAUCCUUUAAAGCCGAUAAGAGGAACUCUCGGAGGUGCAUACAUUUAUUUGAUUGAACUAAUGUUUGACACCCGGGCCGAGCCCUACCCAUGCCAGACAAACUAUACGUACAAACAUGAUGUGUGGGAGAUUUUAACAACGGGCGCCAAGAUUUAAGAAAUUAAAAUGAAUGCCGUGUUACCACCACGAAUUUCUAAAGAAGGCUUGCAGCAUUGUGGUGUUGCAAACAAAGGUGAAUCCUUUCCAGACGAUAUUAAUAGUGAUCCAGAAAAAAAUAACGAAACAACUUCUGUGAGGUCCUCAUACGACGUUUCAAAUGAAAUUGAAACCUAUAUUAAAUCUGAUAGCUGUAGCCAUAUUGCAGAUCUGAUGAGCUCUAAAGCUAAACAGAAUUUUUGCAGAGCACCUAAAAGUGUACGAACAUUGAAUGAACGCUUUCAAGGCACAAUGAGUGAUCAUAACUAUUCAUGCCAAGGAGAAAUAAUGUGUAAUUUCGAAUUAGACAACAUUCGUGAUAUACUUCUUAAUAUCAUAAUACCUAAAGGUUACUCGAUAAAAGAGAUUCCAUGGGAUAUAAACUACUUUAUCGAAAACACAAUAAAAAGGUUGACAGAUUUAAAGCUUAAGUACGGAAAAAUACGAGUUAAAAACUUAAAACAAACAAAAACCUUAUCUAAAAACCCUAAAAAACGAAGUCUUCAAAAUUCAAAAAUUAACCAAAAUCAUUUAGAGCCAUUAAAAACUGAUCGCAAAGAUCAACAUCUUAAAAAUAUUAUUACAAAUCUGCGGUGUCAGAAAAAUGAAAAAAAUGAAAUUCUUAGAACCAUACCAUAUUCAGAUUUGAACUCAGUUGAGCAUAUGUUAAAAAAUCGACUUGAAAAUAAUUUCAACGCAAAAACACGACUCAUGUUAAAUUCAUCUGACUCAUCCCAAACAGACUUCGAGCUUAAAAGCGGCUUUUGCGAAAUAAAAAGUACUUCAUCAAAUAAAAGCAGUAAAACAUCGUGUUUAAUAUCGCUUUUACGUGAUUCUAUUGAAACGGAAAAAGCGUACCCACAUUUUUUUGACAAUAUUGAUUUAACUAAAUACAUUAAGCUAGAACUAAGUUUUCAACCCAUGGUUGAAAUUGGUAAGGAAGUUAAUAUGAAAAAAAAAUGUUGGAUAUCCGACAACAACACCGACAAAGAAAUUAAAAGAUUGGUGAACAUAAAAGCACUAAAUAAACGUCACAAGAGUAAACCUCACACUAUUAAACAACAAAAAAGUCAUGUUAAACAAAUUUCAAUGUCAAAAGAGAGCAGUGAUCCCAAAAAUGUGACGUGUAUCUUGGAUGAGAUAGACAAUUGUGAAAAAGACCAAUAUUUUGGAAGUGACAGUAAUAAUUUAACAGAAGGCGAAUUUUUAUCACGUUACAAUGAAAAAAUCAAGCACCAACUUUUAAAUGAUUCGAAUAGCGAUUCUAGACUAUCAAAACAAAGUAGCUACGAAUCUUUAAUGGAAUCGGAUUCAGCAGGUAAAGACAUUUCGACUAGUAUUGUAGAUAAGUUUCUGCAUGUAUUUAAAACUAAUAAAAGUCGAAAACCUGUAUUAAACAAUAAAAAGUUCUUUGAAGAAAGAGAAUCUGAAAAGUUGGAUAAUAUUAUGCCAGCAGGUGAUGUAGUGACAUCCAAUGUAAAUUCUUCUGAAAAACAGAAUAGCGAAUCAGAAAUGCCACAUCAACAAAAUGAAAUUAUACUAAGUUCUGAAAGCGAUUUUUCAGAUAAUGAAUAUGUUGGUUUACUAAAGGGAAGACUAAUUAAACCAAUGCUCCGAACGGAUCAACUCGCUCUGGAAACAAGAGAAGCGCAAAAAAAUGAAACCGAAAGAAUUCGGAGGCUAGAGAGGAAAAAUGCUGUUCUUUCAAAAGCAAUUAAAAAUAACUUAAAGUUUUUACAGAACUCUGAUCUCAUACUUGACUAUAUUGAAAAAACGAAAACAUUUAUCAAAGUGAAUGGGAAUCUUGUUAAGCUAUUAAAGCCUCAUCAGAAAGAUGGAGUUAAAUUUAUGUACGAUUCUUGUUAUGGCGGCAUUGAUCUAAACAAGGAAAAUUCUGGAUCUGGAUGUAUUUUGGCUCACUGCAUGGGCCUUGGAAAAACUCUUCAGUUAAUUACAUUGCUGCAUACGGUUACAUCUUACAAGGAACUAAGUACAUCAAAAAUUUUGAUACUAUGCCCAAAAAGCACAGUCAUGAACUGGGCUGACGAAUUUCAACAGUGGUUAUGUGCAAUAGGAGACAGUUACCGUAUAAAGGUUUUCGUAUUUCCUGAUUCCUCUGAUAUAUCCGAUAAAUUGACGUUACUAGAAGAUUGGUCAUUGUCUGCAAAGGAAAGUGCGGGUUGUUUGUUGAUCGGAUAUGAAGCUUUUCGUUCCCUUGUUUUCUAUCACUCAUAUAAAUGCCGAGGUAACCAGUCGAACAGAUUAGAAAGCAUUCGAGAUAAAGUAAAAAAAUAUCUACUUCAACCAGGUGCAGAUGUAGUAGUUUGCGAUGAAGGUCACAUUAUUAAAAACAGUCGAUCUGCCAUAAGUAUCGCAGUGGCCAAAGUAAAAACUACAAAACGUAUUAUAUUAACUGGAACCCCGAUUCAAAAUAAUCUUAAAGAAUAUUAUAGUAUGGUCAACUUUAUAAAGCCUUUGUAUCUUGGAACUGAGAGGGAAUUUGCCAAUUUAUACGCAAACCCAAUAAAAAAUGGUCAACAUAAAGAUUCCAGUAAAAAAGAUAUAACGGUCAUGAAACAGAGAUCGUACGUUUUACACAAGAAACUAUCUAAAUUUGUUCAGAGGAAAGAAGCACAGUUGCUAAAAUCAUUUUUACCGCAAAAGUUCGAAUAUGUUUUGUUCAUUCCCAUGACGUCAGUACAGAAUACUCUCUAUGAAUUUAUAUUGGAAGCAAUAGCGAGCCGUGGAGAUAGUCGCGGUAAAAGUCUCAUAACUGAUUAUACAGUCUUACGAAAGAUUUGGACUCAUCCAAAAGUUCUAGAGGACGCUUGGAAAAAUGCUAAUAAGCACAAAGCUAAGCGGCACUCAAAAAAAAUAUGUGGUCCAAAUUCCGAUGAAGAUCAACCAGAUGAUAUUUAUGACAGUCAAACUGGUGUUAUGUCUGUUAAAAAUGAUUGGUGGCGCAAGUAUCUAACAAAAAAAGAUUUAGAAACUAUUAUUCCAAGUAACAAACUACGCCUGAUGUUUUCAAUUCUUCGCAUGUGUGAGGAAAAAGGUGAAAAAUGCCUAAUCUUUUCUGCUUUUGUGGCUGUGCUUAAUGUGGUUGAAUACUUUUUCAAAAAAAUUUCUCAUUCUGAGCCCGAAAUAGUGCAUCUCGGUCAUACAACAGCAAAUCAGAAUCUUCCUAGUAAGUGGAUUAAUGGCCAAGACUACUAUAGAUUGGAUGGAAAAACUCCUAAAAAUAUUCGUCAUGAAAUGAUAAAAAGGUUUAAUAGCGAAGCAAACAAACGGGCGAGGGUUUUUUUAAUAUCAUCCAGAGCCGGCGGACAAGGCAUAAAUUUAAUAGGCGCGAACAGGGUAAUUAUUCUGGAUACCUCCUGGAACCCUUCAAAUGAUCAGCAAAAUAUUUUUCGAGUAUUUCGAUUGGGUCAGAAGAAAAACUGUUACAUUUAUCGCCUGAUUGCAAUGGGCACUAUGGAGGAAAAGGUUUACUCCCGAUCCGUCACCAAGCAAGCAAUGAGCUUCAGAGUUGUAGACGAACAGCAAAUAGACCGGCAUUACAAUAUGGCAGAGCUAGCCGAACUAUACACAUUGACGACUCCCCAAAACCACGAAAGAACAAUGCCGGUGCUUCCAAAGGACACAAUAUUAGCCGAUUUAUUGCGUCAAUCUGACCUUAUUUAUAAGUACCAUGAGCAUGACAGUCUGUUAGAAAAUAAAGUGGAGCAAGAAUUAAGUGAGCAAGAGAAAGCAGAUGCUUGGGAUACAUAUGAAAUGGACUUAAACAUACGUUGUGACCAACAGAAAGAGUUGGAAACUGAAAAGGCUCAACAGAUUGUACCAGAUCCUCGAUUGACAUCGUAUUUCGAAACCCUGCCAAAUAUUCACUCCCUACUAAGUUAUAAGCUUCAUUCAGAAUUCUUGACUACUCAUAGCAAUUAUACGCAAAAUAAAAAUUAUUUUGACAGCCUGAACUACAUCCAAACAUAUUCUGCACAACAAUUAUCUGAUAUAGAUCCUUACUUAAAGGAAAAAAUAGUUACUACGUCAAAUUUUGAUACAAACUCAAUUUUUACAUCUAAACAUAACGUUUCUGAUAAUAUACAAAAAUUAUGCAGAACACAACAAGUAGCUCCCGUGAUUUCUGAUAAGACUUAUGAUGGAGUGCUUUCUGCAAUUGAGCAGUAUAGACAAUUGCUUAGUAACCAUGGCUUUUUAAACUAUUCAAAUCAAAGCUAUAUGUCAGUAAGUGAAGAAACAAAAAAAAAGUGGUAAACCAUUUAACUGACGAAACCAAUAUAAAUACCAGAGAUGAUUAUCAACCUAACAUUCAUCUAUGUUCUGAAACUCUAGGACUUGCGAGAUCGACAGUUAUUUCAAAAAAUACAUGCAAUGAAAAAACAUGCAACAAUAUUAAGAACAUAAGCUCUGAGCAUAUAGCUACGCAUCACCAUAAAAAAUAUUAUGGUCCCCAUAAUAGGGAUGAUAUGCAAAAUUUCCCCACAUGCUUUUCCGGAACAAUUCCUAAACUGCCUAGCCAAGAAAGUACAACUGUAAAUGUAACGGAAACGAAAUCAUUGCUUGCAUCAGUUUUUUCUGAAACUACGACAAAGAACAAACAACGCCAACGUGAAAUGCCAAAGAAAAAAGCGGGUUUCACUAAGAAAAAAACAUCAAAAUGGGUAAAUGAAUCAAUAAUUGGUAGUAACCAUAGCACUUUAGACACGGAAAAAUGUAGAAAUGUUACUACUCUAGAAAUAGAAAAAGAAAUUGGACCAGCGGCAGUCGAAGUAAUCCAACCAAAUGUGGAGCGGCAAAUACACAACCACCAAUCGCAGCCUCUGGAAAACUAUGAAGACUAUUUGGACAAAAUUAUUUUUCAAGAGAACGAGUGUUUCAACCGAAAAACCAAAUUGAAGAGACCGAAAGAAGAUGAAAAGGACUACCAAAACUUAAAACGAAGCAAAUAAUGAUUCCUGUUCCAAUCAAAUGUAUUUGACAUUAAUAAAUAGUAAACAAAGCUCUUCAAAGCGCCCACAACCGCAA